RNAcentral lists this transfer RNA (76 nucleotides) under Opitutia bacterium. Its description in RNAcentral is "tRNA-Thr". It matches the Rfam family "tRNA". Rfam says of the family: Transfer RNA (tRNA) molecules are approximately 80 nucleotides in length. Their secondary structure includes four short double-helical elements and three loops (D, anti-codon, and T loops). The record is from RNAcentral. Lineage: Bacteria; Pseudomonadati; Verrucomicrobiota; Opitutia. RNAcentral also lists the same sequence under 4 other names.
GCCCAUGUAGCUCAGUUGGUAGAGCGCGUCCUUGGUAAGGACGAGGUCGGCGGUUCAAGUCCGCUCGUGGGCUCCA